Molecule: ribosomal RNA, 94 nt
Filed under: Photobacterium kishitanii
Lineage: Bacteria; Pseudomonadati; Pseudomonadota; Gammaproteobacteria; Vibrionales; Vibrionaceae
Description: partial 16S ribosomal RNA
Rfam family: Bacterial small subunit ribosomal RNA
Source: RNAcentral
ACUUUAAUUGAAGAGUUUGAUCAUGGCUCAGAUUGAACGCUGGCGGCAGGCCUAACACAUGCAAGUCGAGCGGUAACAGAAAAGAAGCUUGCUU